Molecule: long non-coding RNA, 556 nt
Organism: Condylura cristata (star-nosed mole)
Lineage: Eukaryota; Metazoa; Chordata; Mammalia; Eulipotyphla; Talpidae
Exons: 4
Source: RefSeq, a predicted model, not a curated record
ACAGAGAAAAUACUCAUGAGAAUUGAGUUGGGUCUUGACCACUUUUUUUCAACACACAAAACACAAGUUGAAAAGGUAGGAUGCCCACGUACAAGUGGACGCCCUGUGUGUUUGCGCUGAGAGCUUCACUUCUCCCUUCUACUGCUUCCUGCUGCAGGGACUGGCAUGUCUAAGCUCCUCCCACUGUUCUCUGCUUUCCAGAAAGGUGUUCGGGAUUGCUGUGAUCUGACUUUGGACCCUGCUGCGACAUGUGUGAUGUGGCUGCUUGUUCGCAUGACCUAUUUUCUCUCAUUCUUGGAGCUCAAACCUGGCACUUGAGGGCAUUCUCCUAAGAAAGUGGCUACUGGGAAAACUGAAGUUUGGACCCUGAACCUUGCUUGGUGGAAUGGGAAGACAAUCAAUAUUAAGAUUGUGGGCAGAAGUAGAAACAGUUCAAAAUAUAGACCAACAGGAUAUAAAGAGUUUUACUUGUCUCUCAUUGAUGAGGUCUCUUUUCUUUAUCUUCUGCUUCAAUCUGAAACUCUGAUUGUAAUAAUAUUUGGUAGCUUUUCCAAUU